GGGUGUUAUCUACAGUGUUUCUAAAAUUACCUCUCUGAGACUUUCGUCUAGCUUUAAGGAACUUCAGAUACAGAGGAAAUGAAACAUAUUUCUCCUCGAUGACUUUAAAAACAGCUGGGCAUUCAGUAAUCAUCAAGGUGGGCUCUACCUACGAUUAUUCACGUGGAAAGAAUUAACCUGUUGAACAAAUUAUUGGCGAGCCCAGGUCAGGAUCGCCUCUGCUCUGGAACCUUCCUACACUGAGUGUUCAGCUGGGGGUUGCAUCAUAUAUGUAUUCAACCUGCCCACAUUCAGUUAUAUGCAUGCAAUCGAGAGAGAGAAAAUUCAAACAGCACAAGCAAGUGAACCACCAGCCAUUCCAGUCUACAAGUGAUGAAACAGUGUUUGCUCUUUCCCAAUCUAAUCGUAAAAGGGGAUGUGGAAUGCUGGUACCUACUGAAUAUGCCGUGUCUCUUCAGAUACAAAAGCCAAGGAAGAAUUUCCUGAUGUUGGAUAAGUCAAUACUGAAAGGAGAUGCUAGCAAAGUCACGGUGCUACAGUCCUUGGAAAUCAUUGAAAAUUUGAAAGCUUAUUACGAAAACACAAAAUCUAAUAUUCUUCUUGAUCUUAUGUCAAGAAAAUCAACACAGACUGGGCCUAGAAGAGGCUAAGGAAGAAAGAAGUACUAUUAUAAAAAGUAGAAGAGGAUCAAAGACCACUUCACCUACUUUAUGAACUUGCCUGGGGCUGCUCCAUCUAUGGGACUCCAAUUCAUCUUUGGCAUGAAUGACCUAUGUUGCCAAACACUUGACUUUACAUAAAAAGGCAGAGAAAGACAUCAGACUUGUGCCAUCUGGUAUUAUUGUUCUUUUUUUGAGGACUAAAUGUAAAAUUAAAAUGUAAGGAGGAAAACAAUGAAGAUUGUAGCUGGGGGAAAUGAAAACCACAUUUUGAUGUUUAUUUCUCUGGUCUCAUGAGGUUAACUUUGUAACAAACAAAGGGAUGUGGUAGAUUAAAAACUAGCAUUAAAAUAAAGAAAUACAGAAAUGAAUCAAGUAUUUAGACAUGGAAAUAUACAGAUCUUCAACUUUAGUUUGUACAGCUGUUUGUUUUUAAAGCGUAGAACUAUUCGUUGAAAAGAGUUAGAAACCAAAAUCAUCUUAGAGAGCCAUGAAAUUUUAAAAUGGCCCCAUUUUCCUGGUUGAGGCUCAAAUUAUUCUGAUCACUUUAGUUUGUCUUGGAUAAUUUUUGUUCAGUUGGAUUACAUAAUGAUUUUUGCUAUCUCACUCACAGAAUUUAUUUUGCCAUUUUCCCACAAUCUAGAAGACUUUUAAUGCCCA
This 1319-nucleotide long non-coding RNA is filed under the name Equus asinus (donkey). Its description in RNAcentral is "lncRNA (ENSEASG00005034703.1)". The record is from RNAcentral. Lineage: Eukaryota; Metazoa; Chordata; Mammalia; Perissodactyla; Equidae.